Molecule: long non-coding RNA, 319 nt
Filed under: Populus tremula
Lineage: Eukaryota; Viridiplantae; Streptophyta; Magnoliopsida; Malpighiales; Salicaceae
Description: long non-coding RNA (PTRE_LNC002558)
Source: RNAcentral
CUCUCCCUCCUUUCCGAACAGCGGCGAGAACUAAUGGCUGCCGAAUCCCUAGAAACCGACCUCGACUUUGCCUUCCGACUUCAACUCCAAGAAGCCAUAAACGCCUCCAUACCUCUCCUCCCUUCCACGGCCGCCUCCACGUCCGCCUCCAUACCUCUCCUCCCUUCCAACCGCCUCCACGUCCGCCUCCGCCUCUACCUCAACUGCGUCGCCUCUGAUUGGCAAAGUCGAAAUCACUGCACCUCUAUCCACUCUACAAUAUGAAGAAAUCUCAAAAUUAGAGCAAAAGCUAAAAGAUCGUAGACAAUCAGAAGUCGAA